UUAGCCAGGUCUGAGGAAGCUCUUCAGCUUUAACCUCAUGCUUCUCCCCCACAAAUCUGUCUGCCCACACGCACACACAGCACAGUCGAGGAUACACAGUAACGACUGGUUUGUCAUGUUGCUUUGGCUGUUUUUCAUCACUAAGCUUCCUAACAUCAGAGUGGUUCAUCUGCUUUAAGAGGCGACAGAUUUCACUGGUUGAUUUGGAUGCAGCUGGGUGGAGGAGGGAGGGAGGGGGAGACAACCAGAGAAUCCUGUGAUGGUUCGACUAUGUUGUGCAGCAGAGCACUGAGGAGAGACAGAGGAUGAGGCAGCAUGUUGACAAUCAUGGGCCCGCACGGCAUCAGCCAAGCCGUACACAGGCUGGAGUUCUGCGGCUGCACGAAGGGGCUCGGUGUGAAAAUAAUUGGAGGUCACAGAGAGUUGACAGGAGAGGAGUUUGGCGUUUACAUCAAGCGGGUGAUAGCAGGAGGGUUGGCAGCUCUGGAUGGUCGGCUCAAGGCAGGUGACCUGAUUUUGGAUGUCAAUAACAUCAGUCUAAUAGGGGUGACCAAUAAGAGGGCGGUGGAGAUCCUGCGGACAGCCUCGCUUUCUAAUCACAUGUCCCUGCUGAUCGCCAGAGACGAUGACUCCAGGAGGGAGUUUGCUGAACUGAUGAAGAGGUACGGCUCCGGUACCGUCACAGCUUCAGGACAAACCACCCCUACAGGGAAGCUGAUGGACACGGCCUCCACUUCCUCCUCUUCCAGAUCUGAGAGCCCCCAGCUCCUCAGUCCCAGAGAGGGGCUCACUGCCUACACCCAUGGCUCCCCCUACACCAUGCACACACCCACACAUGCCUUCAGUGUCAUUCAGUUGAUCUGUGUUGCCAAGGGAACAGACCUGGGGCUCAUCAUCGAUGGCGGAACCAACCGCGCCAAAGGACCAAUGGUGUUCAUUCAGGAAAUGGUGCCUGGUGGAGACUGCCAGAAGGACGGCAGGCUGCAGGUCGGGGACCGACUGGUGUCCAUUAACAAAGAGUCCCUGAUCGGAGUGACAUGUGAGGAGGCCAGGAGCAUCCUGACUAGCACCAAACUCAGACCAGACCCCACAGUGGAAAUCGCCUUCAUCAGGCAGAGGUCAUCCUCCAGCCUCAGCAGCGGGCCCCUUGGCCCCAUCUCCCUGCUAGGGUCUGGGGGUGAGCCCCAGACGAGGGAUCCCAUGCCUCCACAGCCAGCUGUAGCCACCAAGAUCACCUGCCGCCAAGACCCUGCCAGCGAGAUACUGCCCGCAGUCAACAUCAGCCAAGUCCGAGAGUCAGCACUGUCCAAGUCUGAUCCAGGACCAGGCCACAUAAUGCAGGCGCAAGUGCAGACACGUGUGUCCUCGCCACCAGAGAGUGACAGCAUCACUGACACACACCCUGAGACGGGCGGCAGUCGGCCUCCACAGAGGAAGCUGAACACCAGCUGUCGCCUGAAACUGGAGAAGGUGGAGCAGACUGUGGAUCUGAUUGGUCUGAAGCCCACAGGGGCUCAGCGACAGGCGCUCAGGUCCAGACUACGGGCUGAUCCAGCUGGGACGGUGGCCUUCACAGAGUUCAAGAGCCUGAUCAGGGAGCUGUUCGAGCCUCAGCUGGAGGAGCUGGCCGUCACCCAGCCAGGGCUGAGGUUCACAUCUGAUGACCUGUGCGAUUUGUUGGAGCCACCCACCAGCCGGCAGCCGUCACUGUCAGACUCGGAGGAGCUGGACGAGAUGGAGAGGCUGAGGAAGGAGCACAUCAAGGCUCUGAGGGAGAUCAAGAGGCUGCAGGAGCAGCUGAUCGAGUCUCAAUUGCUUCACCAUCACAUGGAGGAGGAGCUCAGCAGGGCCCAGCAGGAGAUGGAGGAGCUGAAGAAGAGAGUGGCCAUCCAGGAGUGUCAGCUACAGAAAAGCGAAGUGACCAGAAAGGGCUUUGAGGUGUCAACAGGAAAACUGCUUAGCUUUGUGGAGAAUGUUCAGGAGUUCCUGUGUGAAAGUCAGUGUCCAACAAAGAGCUGCAGCUCUGGAGACAUUGAAGUCGGGGAGACAUCUCAGGGUCUCCCUCCUCGCUUCAAGAAGAGCCCCUCUAUGGUGGCCACGCUGGCCCAGGAGGCACAGGAGCUCACACGGACUGUCAGAGCCCUGCUGGAGGUUGACUUGCUGACCUUCUAGAGGACCCAACUGUAGGAGAACAGAGUCAGCGGCUCUGAGACGUCAGCAAGAAAUCAUCAGUCAGCCCUCUCCUUCCUGAUCCUCAUCUCCUCAGCUCCUGCUAGCAAUGGACUAACUCUGCAUGAAGCACGGUUUUGUUUCUGUGAAGCACUGUACACUCUCUGAAUAAUUGGUACACACUAAACUGUGGUUUUACUCCAAUGGUCCAAACUGAACAUGGAAGAGAAAUCCACAACACUCGAGCUCGUCUGCAAACAACCAGUUUACUCUGUGAGACGUUUGUGGGGUAUGUUAACACACUGGAGGAAGGCCACAUUAGAGCUGAUGGAGUACAUGAACAUCUGGCCACUGAAUUAUAUUCAUUAUGUGAUGAGACUGAUGCUUCCAACAUUUUAGAAAUCACAGGUUUCACAGUUUGUCUGAAGGUGAGAGGUCACCAGUGAGGAGCAGCUUGUUAGAUCAGGAAAAACAGGAAUCAUCAGGUCGCACGACGAAAUUUCCAGACCAUUUUUAGGAAAAGAAAUUGGAGAAAUAUUUGAAAUGUUUUAAGAAAAAGGUCAUUAAUUAUGUUUUUCUCCUAAAUGAUUCAUUUCGGGGUUCGAGAAGUGAGGCUGUGGCUGGAAGGUCACCGGUUCAGUCCUGAGACCAGCAGGACCAGUGUGGAGCUGUUCAAUGGCCACAGGUCUGUGGUCCUACUGCGGAGCUUUCUGGUGUGAACAUGAAGGAACAGAGAUGGCCUCUCACAGGACCUACCCUGAAUAAACAAAGUGCAAUUGGCAUGCAGAAGGCAGGAAGUGUGUUUCUGACACAAUCACCUAAUUUCCCUCCACGUGUGAGCGUCGGUGGGAGGACGCGGGCACAGUUACAUAAUUAACGGCCGUGAUUCAGGCGGCAAGAGAAGCCAUCCUGGGUCAUUCACGGUGUCCUGUUAGAAAUAAUGGAGACGGACAGACUAAACCACGUCACAGUGCAGAGAGAAACUGGGUCAGUCUGAUCCAGGCUCACAGCCUGUGGACGUCUGCCAGUGUGCUCAUCACAGUCACCUGUAGCGGGCUCUUGUUGCCUGGAUACGUGUUCUGCUUUAAAAUGGCAAAGCUUGUAUCUGUAGAACACUUGGUUUUCUUCAUUCACCACACACUGCAUGACAAGCAAUCAGCAGGCUGAGCAACUUCGCACACACGCAGCUCAUUCACUUCUUGUUUGCAAGCAGCAACUCAGACACCGUUGCCAUGACGACCACAUCUCCUAUAAAUUACAUUCAUCUGCAGCAUACAUUUACAGGGUUACAUGCUCUCAGGGUGGCUGUAGCUUUUUCUUCAUUAAACACACUGCCAAUGUGGUUCAGCUUCAUGUUAGACAACAGAAGUCAACUUUCAACAACUGCCUCUACUUCUCAUCUCAGGAGUGACUCACUCCAUCACCAGACGGAUACAGAGACUGGUUCUUUCUGUGCAUCAGACACUCUUCUGUAGUUUGACAGUAUGGUCACAGAGUGAGGGGUAGCACCGGUGGUAGACCGGAGAACAUGUUGGACUCUUACAGACAUUAGCUAUACAGAGAACAUGAAUGGAAGGUUUGAUACAAAGCUGGGUGUUUUACCAGCAUGGAACCGGAUCCAGAAGAGAACCUCCCUAGGAACAGACUUGGUCUGCAACCAAACAGUAAUAACCUGUGUUUUCCACUGAUGAAAAUGCAGCUACAGAGUGAAUCAGUUUAAAAAUAUUUACGGCUUCUGAUUCAUUUGACAUUUGAGAUCUGCAUCCUAAUGAAAAGGUUCAUGUGGGCAUCUACUAUAUUUUCUUCAUGACAGAGUCCAACAGCCUCUGAAUGUCUCCUCCUAACAAGUAUGACAACCUGAGCUCCCUCCUCCCUCUGAGCCACAGAACUCCACUGUGUCCACACCAGUGACCACAUUGCCAUUAAUACUCACUAAAGAGCAAAUGUGGAAUCAUCCGCUCCUGAAAAUAGUCCCCACAGUCUUCUGUAUCUCAAGAGAAUGAAGCAACAGCACAUAUGAACGUUAAAAGACCAUGCAACUUGUAGUUGGAGAGAGACACU
RNA transcript from Monopterus albus (swamp eel), 4230 nucleotides. It is a transcript of the gene named syntaxin binding protein 4, with no coding region annotated. Lineage: Eukaryota; Metazoa; Chordata; Actinopteri; Synbranchiformes; Synbranchidae. The transcript is spliced from 20 exons. The record is from RefSeq and is a predicted model, not a curated record.